Molecule: ribosomal RNA, 565 nt
Filed under: uncultured Glomeromycotina
Lineage: Eukaryota; Fungi; Glomeromycota
Description: SSU rRNA
Rfam family: Eukaryotic small subunit ribosomal RNA
Source: RNAcentral
UUGGAGGGCAAGUCUGGUGCCAGCAGCCGCGGUAAUUCCAGCUCCAAUAGCGUAUAUUAAAGCUGUUGCAGUUAAAAAGCUCGUAGUUGAAUUUCGGGGUUAGUAGGUUGGUCAUGCCUCUGGUAUGUACUGGUCUCACUGAUUCCUCCUUCCUGAUGAACCUUAAUGCCAUUAAUUUGGUGUUUUGGGGAAUUUGGACUGUUACUUUGAAAAAAUUAGAGUGUUUAAAGCAAGCUAACGCUUGAAUACAUUAGCAUGGAAUAAUGAAAUAGGACGUUCGAUCCUAUUUUGUUGGUUUCUAGGAUUGACGUAAUGAUUAAUAGGGAUAGUUGGGGGCAUUAGUAUUCAAUUGUCAGAGGUGAAAUUCUUGGAUUUAUUGAAGACUAACUACUGCGAAAGCAUUUGCCAAGGAUGUUUUCAUUAAUCAAGAACGAAAGUUAGGGGAUCGAAGACGAUCAGAUACCGUCGUAGUCUUAACCAUAAACUAUGCCGACUAGGGAUCGGAUGAUGUUAAUUUUUUAAUGACUCAUUCGGCGCCUUACGGGAAACCAAAGUGUUUGGGUUC